GCUGGGCAUGGUGGUGCGUGCCUGUAAUCCCAGCUACUGGGGAGGCUGAGACAGGAGAAUGGCUUGAACCCAGGAGGCAGAGGUUGCAGUGAGCCGAGAUUGUGCCACUGCACUCCAGCCUGGGUGACAAAGCAAGACUCCGUCUCAA
Molecule: signal recognition particle RNA, 148 nt
Filed under: Chlorocebus sabaeus (green monkey)
Lineage: Eukaryota; Metazoa; Chordata; Mammalia; Primates; Cercopithecidae
Description: Metazoan signal recognition particle RNA
Rfam family: Metazoan signal recognition particle RNA
About the family: The signal recognition particle (SRP) is a universally conserved ribonucleoprotein. It is involved in the co-translational targeting of proteins to membranes.
Source: Rfam by way of RNAcentral